Zingiber officinale is the source of this 866-nucleotide long non-coding RNA. RefSeq lists it as uncharacterized. Lineage: Eukaryota; Viridiplantae; Streptophyta; Magnoliopsida; Zingiberales; Zingiberaceae. The record is from RefSeq and is a predicted model, not a curated record. The transcript has 4 exons.
UUACUCCCUCUCCGUCGAAACCCUUCCUCUCUACCAAAACCUUCCGCGCUCCGCCUCCCUCUCUGCCUCCGUGCUCUUCCUCCCUCUCUACCUCCAUGCUUCGCCUUCAUCUCUGCCGUACUCUGCCUUCCUUGCUUCGCUCAUCAUUGCCCAAAUUCACCGUAGGAUAGCUACACCCUCGCACUCCACAAGGCCCUUAUGUUCUUCAAUGCCUAGCGAUGCGAGUCCUCAUAGAUGGCCUCUUCGGGAAAAAAGGUUUUGACGGUAUAAAAAAUGUUCCUUUGCCCCUGAUUUCUUUUGUAGCAAGGUCGAUUCCCAAACACAACAAUGUAUUGUGGAGGGGGAACUUUGGCUUGAGGGAUGACUUCUCCAAUCAUUCGUAUGGGAAGAGUCUCAUCUGUGGAUUCUACGAUGCCAGUGACGCCAUCCAAGGUCGGACCUUUUAUGAGGCAGAGGACAUGGAGGAUGUGGCUAAGGCAGUGGCGAAGUUCUCAACCAGAGGUGGUGGGCGAGCAUGCUAAGCAAACAGAGAAACCAAGGGAAAGUGCAGAAGAUGGAGGAGAAGAAAGAAAUGUUAAAGUUUAACAAGAGGCAUGCGGAGGGGAGGGACAAGACCGAUAAAUAGAAGAACUUUCAACUAAAGAUCCAGAAAUUGAAUCCUGUUAACACAAUUUGCUACGUUCAAAUCUUUGGAAUUGACAUGGACACACAAGAUACUUUGCCAUCAGUUUUGUUGUUUUUUGACUGACAAAGGUUCCAUCUUCAAUGCUGGAGGUGAUAAUGAUAACAAUUAAAAAAGGAUACUUCUACUUAGAAGUUGGGGGCAUCAAGCCGAUCAGACUUUAAUUGUAAAAGAACGGAAGGUU